UGAGGAAUAUUGGUCAAUGGGCGAGAGCCUGAACCAGCCAAGUCGCGUGAGGGAAGACGGUCCUACGGAUUGUAAACCUCUUUUGUCGGGGAGUAAUAGGCGGGACGUGUCCUGCUGUGAGAGUACCCGAAGAAAAAGCAUCGGCUAACUCCGUGCCAGCAGCCGCGGUAAUACGGAAGGUCCGGGCGUUAUCCGGAUUUAUUGGGUUUAAAGGGAGCGUAGGCCGGAGAUUAAGCGUGUUGUGAAAUGUAGUGGCUCAACCUCUGCACUGCAGCGCGAACUGGUCUUCUUGAGUACGCACAACGUGGGCGGAAUUCGUGGUGUAGCGGUGAAAUGCUUAGAUAUCACGAAGAACUCCGAUUGCGAAGGCAGCUCACGGGAGCGCAACUGACGCUGAAGCUCGAAAGUGCGGGUAUCGAACAGGAUUAGAUACCCUGGUA
This 440-nucleotide ribosomal RNA is filed under the name uncultured Prevotella sp. RNAcentral describes it as "bacterial SSU rRNA". It matches the Rfam family "Bacterial small subunit ribosomal RNA", at positions 355 to 792 of the family's 1533-position model. The record is from RNAcentral. Lineage: Bacteria; Pseudomonadati; Bacteroidota; Bacteroidia; Bacteroidales; Prevotellaceae.